Molecule: transfer RNA, 74 nt
Filed under: Nanoarchaeales archaeon
Lineage: Archaea; Nanobdellati; Nanobdellota; Candidatus Nanoarchaeia; Nanoarchaeales
Description: tRNA-Trp
Rfam family: tRNA
About the family: Transfer RNA (tRNA) molecules are approximately 80 nucleotides in length. Their secondary structure includes four short double-helical elements and three loops (D, anti-codon, and T loops).
Source: RNAcentral
GGGAACGUAGUAUAACCUGGCUAGAAUAGGCGGCUCCAACCCGCCGGAUGGGGGUUCAAAUCCUUCCGUUCUCA